Molecule: ribosomal RNA, 528 nt
Filed under: uncultured bacterium
Lineage: Bacteria
Description: partial 16S ribosomal RNA
Rfam family: Bacterial small subunit ribosomal RNA
Source: RNAcentral
CUUUCUGGGUAGUAACAAGUANGAUCCGUACCGAGAAGUUAGGGAUAACUUGAGGAAACUCAAGCUAAUACCUAAUGAUAUAUCAUACUUUUAGUAUGCUAUUAAAGAUUUAUCGCUUCUUGAUCGGCCUGCUUCGUAUCAGCUUGUUGGUAAGGUAAUGGCUUACCAAGGCUAUGACGCGUAGGGGGAGUGAGAGCUCGAUCCCCACCAUUGGAACUGANACACUGUCCAAACACCUACGGGUGGCUGCAGUCGAGAAUCUUCCGCAAUGCACGAAAGUGUGACGGAGCGACGCCGCGUGGUUGAUGACGCCCUUCGGGGUGUAAGACCUUUUAUGAGGGAGGAAGUUUAUUGACGUUCCUCAUGAAUAAGGGGCUCCAAACUCUGUGCCACAGGANCGGUAAUACAAAGCCCCAAGUGUAUCCGGAAUACUGGGCNUAAAGGGUCGUANGNGGUUGAUUANCUUNUNUAAACCUUGGCUUACCCAAAAUCCGGGAAAACGNCACUAAANAUNUAAAAGUNCCGACU